This 239-nucleotide ribosomal RNA is filed under the name Salmonella enterica. RNAcentral describes it as "partial 16S ribosomal RNA". It matches the Rfam family "Bacterial small subunit ribosomal RNA", at positions 1 to 236 of the family's 1533-position model. RNAcentral also lists the same sequence under 2 other names. The record is from RNAcentral. Lineage: Bacteria; Pseudomonadati; Pseudomonadota; Gammaproteobacteria; Enterobacterales; Enterobacteriaceae.
AAAUUGAAGAGUUUGAUCAUGGCUCAGAUUGAACGCUGGCGGCAGGCCUAACACAUGCAAGUCGAACGGUAACAGGAAGCAGCUUGCUGCUUUGCUGACGAGUGGCGGACGGGUGAGUAAUGUCUGGGAAACUGCCUGAUGGAGGGGGAUAACUACUGGAAACGGUGGCUAAUACCGCAUAACGUCGCAAGACCAAAGAGGGGGACCUUCGGGCCUCUUGCCAUCGGAUGUGCCCAGAU